UACAGCGAAACUGCGAAUGGCUCAUUAUAUAAGUUCUCUUAUUUAUUUGAUAGUGCCUUACUACUUGGAUAACCGUGGUAAUUCUAGAGCUAAUACAUGCUAAAAACCCCGACUUCGGAAGGGGUGUAUUUAUUAGAUACAAAACCAAUGCCCUUCGGGGCUCUUUGGUGAUUCAUGAUAACUAUACGAAUCGCACGGCCUUGCGCCGGCGAUGGUUCAUUCAAAUUUCUUCCCUACCAACUUUCGAUGUUUGGGUAUUGGCCAAACAUGGUUGCAACGGGUAACGGAGGGUUAGGGCUCGACCCCGGAGAAGGAGCCUGAGAAACGGCUACUACAUCCAAGGAAGGCAGCAGGCGCGCAAAUUACCCAAUCCCGACUCGGGGAGGUAGUGACAAUAAAUACUGAUACAGGGCCCUUUCGGGCCUUGUAAUUGGAAUGAGUACAAUUUAAAUCCCUUAACGAGGAACAAUUGGAGGGCAAGUCUGGUGCCAGCAGCCGCGGUAAUUCCAGCUCCAAUAGCGUAUAU
This 526-nucleotide ribosomal RNA is filed under the name uncultured eukaryote. RNAcentral describes it as "SSU rRNA". It matches the Rfam family "Eukaryotic small subunit ribosomal RNA", at positions 77 to 604 of the family's 1831-position model. The record is from RNAcentral.